RNAcentral lists this ribosomal RNA (278 nucleotides) under uncultured bacterium. RNAcentral describes it as "partial 16S ribosomal RNA". It matches the Rfam family "Bacterial small subunit ribosomal RNA", at positions 524 to 795 of the family's 1533-position model. The record is from RNAcentral.
UACGAAGGGGGCGAGCGUUGUUCGGAUUUACUGGGCGUAAAGGGCGCGCAGGCGGCCGCAUUUGUCAGGCGUGAAAGCCCCGGGCUUAACCUGGGAACUGCGUUUGAUACGGUGCGGCUAGAGUUCGGGAGAGGAGAGUGGAAUUCCCAGUGUAGAGGUGAAAUUCGUAGAUAUUGGGAAGAACACCGGUGGCGAAGGCGGCUACUCUGGACCGAUACGUGACGCUGAGGCGCGAAAGCGUGGGGAGCAAAGCAGGAUUAAGAAACCCUGGGGUAGUC